Molecule: long non-coding RNA, 409 nt
Organism: Oncorhynchus tshawytscha (Chinook salmon)
Lineage: Eukaryota; Metazoa; Chordata; Actinopteri; Salmoniformes; Salmonidae
Source: Ensembl
GUACACAUACUGUACAAAUACAUAAAGGUACACAUACUGCUCAAAUACAUACAGGUACACAUACUGUACAAAUACAUACAGGUACACAUACUGUACAAAUACAUACAGGUUCACAUACUGUACAAAUACAUACAGGUACACAUACUGUACAAAUACAUACAGGUACACGUACUGCUCAAAUACAUACAGGUACACAUACUGUUCUAUGUAGAUCAUCUAUAUAGCUGCUGUGGGAUCUUGAUUAAAGGCUCAAUACAAUCAAACAGGUCAGGAAACUCUCAGGUGAUUCCAGAUUAGCGGCCAUUUCAAAGGGUGAGCAAUUUCCCCAGUCCCACCCGACCAUCUGCAUACCGCACUGGAACCUUUGAUAUCCCUUGGUUCUUCUAUUCCCUUGGUCCUACCAUCCAAC